GGCCCGUUGGUCAAGUGGUUAAGACACCGCCCUUUCACGGCGGUAACAUGGGUUCGAAUCCCGUACGGGCUA
This 72-nucleotide transfer RNA is filed under the name Candidatus Paralactobacillus gallistercoris. RNAcentral's name for it is "tRNA-Glu". It matches the Rfam family "tRNA". Rfam says of the family: Transfer RNA (tRNA) molecules are approximately 80 nucleotides in length. Their secondary structure includes four short double-helical elements and three loops (D, anti-codon, and T loops). Lineage: Bacteria; Bacillati; Bacillota; Bacilli; Lactobacillales; Lactobacillaceae. The record is from RNAcentral.